This 201-nucleotide long non-coding RNA is filed under the name Lathyrus oleraceus (garden pea). Its description in RNAcentral is "Pisum sativum (pea) long non-coding RNA (PSAT_LNC003997)". Lineage: Eukaryota; Viridiplantae; Streptophyta; Magnoliopsida; Fabales; Fabaceae. The record is from RNAcentral.
UUUUAAGUUUUUUCUUGCUUUUGGACCCUAGGCUUGGCCUAGUGGUCUAGUUGCUAAUAUUUGCUUGAUUUUUCAGGAUCAAAAAAGCAAUGUACAUGGAGAAUGAUACAAGUUGAUUUUAAUUGAUGUUGUGGAUGUUUGUACACUAACAUAACAUUGUUUUGUAGGUGUUGGAGUUUGGGUUUAAGCCUUGAGCUUGCC